UCUCUCUCUCUCACACACACACACAAAAACAUUUAUCCCUAUCUCCUUAAAUAUCUUCACAGUCAAUACUAAGUUGAUUCUUCACUGCUUCAUUUUCAAUUUCACCUUCAUGAAUCAUGGGGGAAGGAAUUUAGGUUAAAAACCCAUGUUCUAACAACUUUUUCUCUUGCACCGGCCUCCAUAACAUCUAUCAUUUGUAAAUUUUGUAUGCAUACAGAUCUCUUUUCUGUAAUUAACCACAAAUAUAGGCAUACAUAACUCAAGUUUUUGCAUGCAUACAUAGGUUCAUAGAUACAUACUUAAUACAUGUAUAGCAUAUGUACAUAUAUGCCUGGCUCCCUGUAUGCCAUUUGCAGAGCCCCAUCGGCUCAUCGAUGGCCUCCGUGGAUGGCGUAUGAGGAGCCAAGCAUAUUUUUAUAUUUGUACAUAUAUUAUUUGGCGACUCCAUUCAUAUGGAAUUAAAAUAAAUUAACUAUGAUGCAAAUGACAUGUGCAAGGGUAUUAUAGCCAUUUUAUGAAGACAACGCGUACAAGGGCAACAGUGUAAUUUUGCAAAGAUACAUGUUCAAUCAAUGGAAUGUGAACCAGGGAUGAGUAGUGGCUGAGACCGAUCGCUACCUAGCGCAGAGAAGCAGAUUCUCGAGGAGCAAAGUUUGUUGACGAACCAAUCUUCUUCUUGUGACAGGAAACUCGAGGAUGAAUUUAGUGAAUCGAUCUGCAUCAAAGAGUUAACUAAGAGUAUGUAGGGUUUUGGGAAUUGUAAUUAACCUAGCUUCUAAUCCUUCUUUCUCUUAUGUGUAUUCAAUUUGCUUGUACUUGUUCACAUAAAAAACUGUGACCAUUAUUUU
This is a long non-coding RNA of Cornus florida, 848 nucleotides long. RefSeq lists it as uncharacterized. The transcript has 2 exons. The record is from RefSeq and is a predicted model, not a curated record. NCBI's taxonomy places the organism in Eukaryota, Viridiplantae, Streptophyta, Magnoliopsida, Cornales, Cornaceae.